UACGUAGGGGGCAAGCGUUGUCCGGAAUCAUUGGGCGUAAAGAGCGUGUAGGCGGCUUGGCAAGUCUGGUGUGAAACCUUGCGGCUCAACCGCAAGCGGUCACUGGAAACUGCCUCGCUAGAGUCCGGAAGAGGAGAGCGGAAUUCCUGGUGUAGCGGUGGAAUGCGCAGAUAUCAGGAAGAACACCCGUGGCGAAGGCGGCUCUCUGGGACGGUACUGACGCUGAGACGCGAAAGCGUGGGGAGCGAACAGG
Molecule: ribosomal RNA, 253 nt
Filed under: uncultured bacterium
Lineage: Bacteria
Description: partial 16S ribosomal RNA
Rfam family: Bacterial small subunit ribosomal RNA
Source: RNAcentral